This is an RNA transcript of Felis catus (domestic cat), 5045 nucleotides long. It is a transcript of the gene named gliomedin, with no coding region annotated. NCBI's taxonomy places the organism in Eukaryota, Metazoa, Chordata, Mammalia, Carnivora, Felidae. The transcript has 6 exons. The record is from RefSeq and is a predicted model, not a curated record.
CAAUAAUGAGAAAUGUCCCUUAGGAGCCUGAAGAUCCCAGGCUGUGAAUACAUGGGGCCGAGGGUCACAGGGAGUGCAUGGAUCCUGCAAAGCAGCAAGUGCAAAUGAAAGGGCAGGGUGCAGGAUGCAGGGGGUGUUCAAAUGAAAAAGAUGGGGUGAGAGAGGUGAUGAUGAUAGUGGUGGUAGUGUUUUUGGUGCUUCUGAGCUCAUCAAUUGCAGCAGAAAAGUCCAGAAAUAUAAGGCCAGGGAGAAAAAAAUAUAAGAUGGGGGAGGAAGAAGUCAUUAGAAACCUUAAGUGUGCUAUAAGGGCAACUUUGUUUAAGUUAAGUAUUGACAUUGUAUUUACUUAGUGAUUUAAAAAAAUUAACAUUUUUGCUGUUUUUCUGGGUUGGGAGACAUUGAUGGCUCUAUAAAUGUUGAGUUGAAGCGCCCACUUGGCGCUCUCCCUGGUGCUGGAUUUGCAUAGUGCAUUCCUUGUCUUGGGGGUGUUGUGGAAACCAUCCCUUUCUCUCUGUUCAUCUCCCUUUAGGUGCUAGCCAGGAAGUAAAUUUUGCCAAAUAAAGUCACCUUUACGUGACUUGUGCUUCUUCUCCACCCAGCAUCUCUUAGGCUGAUGUUUGCAGUGAGUGUAGAAGAGAGACAGUAGUCCUUUCCAGGAGUAAAACUCUCUCCCUACAUUUUUCCAAACUAAAUCAUGUUAACAGUGGCUUUCGUGGCUUUCAGGGGGUGGUGAGUUUAUGGGGAAUCCUUAUUUUAUUUACAUUUCCCAACUACUACUUCCAUAGUUAAAUUUGUCUUUUUUGAAGAAAGAAAAGUACAUUGAAGGUGAUUGGAGUUCUCACUCGUAGAAAGUCUUGUAAGAGAAUCCUCAUAAGCCAUGACAUUCUCAGUGACAUGGCAAUGCCUCUGAGUCUCUUUUAGGAGAAGAUUCACAGCAUAAUAUUCAGGUUUUUAAAAUUUAUUUUUUAAAAAGAUACAUGAGUAUAAACUCUGUAAGGUCAGCUUUAGGAUUGUAAUUGAAAACAGUUUACUACUCCCAAGUGACUGCUUCUCUUCCUUUCAAUGUAGGACAUCACUCAUGAGUAUCAACUCUUCAGUGCAUUACAGGAAAAUGUGGUUUUGGAAAAUUCCUGAGAAAAGAACUAUAAGGGCAUGUCCUAUGUCAUAUGUCUAAGAAAAACUUAGCUAGCAGGGAUAAAUGGAGAACAUAGUCAUAUGGUUAAGAUGUCUCAAAACCAAAGCUGGACACUAUGAGCUUCACGCAUGAAGCACCAGGUAUUACUCACUGCCCUCCACUGCUCUCUUCACACCUCCAUGCUCUGAGCCAGUUGACAACAUUCCCUUUGUCCCCACAUACUUUCUGCUGGACUGCUGUUGGGCUUUCCAUUCAUGCAUCCAACUUUUAUUGAACCCCUAGCAUGUGCCUUUUACUGCAUCUUUGCUCUGAGAUGACAGAAAUGGACAUGACAGAUCCUUUCCCUAAAGAGACAUGAGCCUAGAGGAGAGGCAGCUGUGCUAAGGUGAUAGUAAAACAGAUGAGUGCUGACACAAAGGCUCAUACAGGGUGUUAGGGAGCCCAGAGAGCUAAUUUUGCUUGGCACAGGAGGGCAGAGAAUAAAUAAGGGGGGGGGGAGUUACAAAGGAGGAGACACUUGCACUAAUUCAUCAGGUACACUGGGGAGGGGGCAAUGACAGAGGAUCUGGGGAUAGAGACCCAGAGAGGAGAGCCAGGAGUCCACAUCAAGAGAAGGGCUCAGGAAUGACAAAGUGAUUUAUCUGGGACUUAUUCUGGCAAACUGUUAAGUGGAAGACUGAACCCAAUGGACCAAGAACCUGAGGGGGUAGAUGUAAUGGGUGGAAUUCUAAGAUAAUCUCCACCCCCUGUAGAAUUCUCUCCCCAUGAGAGUGAAAAGGAUUUGUGAAGAUCUAAUUUCACACCUGUGACUAUGUUACUUUAUAUAGUAAAAGGGGUUUUGUAGGUAUAAUCAAGGUCCCUAAUCAGUUGACUUUGAGUUAAUUAAAAAGGGAGAUUAUCCUGGGCCUGAAAUAAGCAGGUGAAGUCUUUAAAAGGGUGCAGGCCUUCCCAGAAGUCAGAGUGAUUCCAAGCAGAAGAGAGGCUUUCCUAUUGGCCUUGAAGAAGCAAUCUGCCAUGCUGUAGAGAGAACCACAUGGCAGGGAACAACAUGUGGCCUCUAGGAGCUGCAAGUGAAUUAAACAAGCAGUGAGCUUGGAAGAGAACUCUAAGCCUCAAGUAACAUUCCAGCCCUGGCCAACACCUUGAUUCCAUCCUGAGGAAUGCCCAGGUGAGUGAUGUCAGCUGCAGCUCUGUGACUUCCCCUGCCCGACAAGAGACGGGUGGAAAGUAGAGAAUCCAGAGAUGAUGUUUAUACCCCAAUGAGACAUCAAAAAUGUGUUUCAUUCAAAGGACCCUGAGAAAAAUCACAUCGCCCUUUGAGUCUGUCUCCCUGUCUGCCAUAUAGGAAUCACAAAACUAAUCACAAAGGCUUGCUGGACUGUCAUGAGGAUGAUUCAACCCACUGGCAUUACUUUGAUGUAGAAAGAGAAGACUGAAGGUUUUUGAACUGCAUGCUAGCAGGAAUGCAGCUGACAACAUAGUGACCGAGAUCUGCUCCCAGGGGUUCUGGAUGAGCAGGGAGAUCCACAGAAUUCAAGGCCUUCAGAAGUUGAAUGGGCCACUCAUCAGGGAGGAUCUGUGAAAAGCCUUGAUGGAAUCUAGAAACUCAAAUUCUCGUCCUGGCUCCUUCAUCAACUCCAUGCCCAUAGGCAAAUCACAGCCUCUGGAGUUCGGUUUCCUCAUUGGUAAAAUGCAGUAAAGAGAAGGACUCAUAAUUUAUCUUCAUUCACAGCUCUGAGUUAUCCUUCUAUUAAUAAACAUGUCACCACAUUCCCACCAGAGGUGAAGAAGAAUUUGGCUGUUUCCAAUCUAAAUAUCAGGAUACCCAUAUCAUUACAAAUGAGGAAACACCCUAAGAUGUGGCCUGCAGAGCUGAAGGCGACAGAUGGAUCCUUGUCCCCUCUGUAUUCUCUGCCCAACUACAGGAGGCCAAGUACUUUGCCAGGUUUUGCCCUGGGUCAUCACCGGUCCACCCCAUUCUUGUAUAACCUCCCUUCCUGUUGGCAAAACACUCUUCCUUGCCAAGCUCAGCCUAAGACUCUCACCCCACACCCUCUUCCUAAUCAGGCCAAAGAUAGAAUGUGUUUCCCUUAUUUUAACUAGAUUUAUUAGGCUUAGCCUAAGUCUAGCAGAUUUUAAUAGUUAUUAGUAAAACAUUCUUCCAUUUCCUUAUAAAUACUAUAAUCAAUGUUCCUAUUCUCAAAUGCACCACUUAAAGUAUCUAAAAUCAGAUAUGGAAGAGUAAUUUCAAUUUGUUCAUAACAAAGUUUUCUGAAGAUAUAAGCAGAUUUUGUCAGAUUCAGCAGCACAAUUCUUACAAACAUGCUCAUGCAUUGUUGUGUGGGCAAACUAUCACCAGAGCUUGUCAUUACAAACCUUGUAGACAUUCUUAUCAUUGGUUCUUAUACAAUCCUUAUGAUCUGUUAUUGUCACCCAAAAGUGAUGGCCAGUUAAGUGGUUGGAUUCCCAUGAUUACCAAAGGCUCACUGCUUCCUGGACUGCAACAUUCUCAUUAAAAUUAUGCCCUAGAUGUUUCAUAUAUGGCAACACAUUAUAUGGCCCCCCAGGAAGCAUAAGCAGUUGGUGGACAUGAAAGGACCUUGAAACCCUGUAUAACAUAGUACAUAUGCCAGCUGUCCUUUAACAUAGUAACAGAUGGUGGCCAAAGUCCAGCUGGGCUCCAGGCCCAGCUCUACCUCUUAAUAGUUGUGUGAUCUCUACUAAGUCAUUUACACACUCUGAACCUCAGGCUUUUCAUCUGUAAAAUACAAACGAUAGCAAUAUUUGCUCUACCAUGAGGUUCAAAUGAGAUCAUGGACGGGAAAUCCCUUACAGGUCAUGAAGCAACACUCAUACAUUAGCCAUUUUAUCACAUACAUUGACUUUUAAUCGUCACAACACUGGGAGAUGUCAUUUUCCCCUUUUACAGAUGUAGAGAGUCAAGUGAGUAAGCAUGGUGGACCUGAGGUCCACACCUGGGUCUCCCUGUCUGAUGCUCUUUCCUCUUUGGGAGAAGGCAUACUCCAUGGCACCAUCCCUGCUCAUGGCUAUGUCAUACAAAGAGCACAUUUAGGUGUUGUCCUUAAGCAUGGCAGCAAAUUAGUCCUCCAGAGCCACACAAAAGGGAGAGACCAAGGGAAGGCAGCCAAGACCCUGAGGCCUGUACUGUCCCUGAACCCUACUCCCAGCCCCAGCUGCUUGACUUUCCCCAACACAAGUGUGUUAGCCAAGUACCUGUGGAGCACCUACUUCCACCUCAGCCCCGGAGAAAGCAUAUGGGAUUCAAUUGGCACUGUCUUGAGGAGGCGUGUCAUCUGGCCAAGGCAGAAACUCAGAGACACAGUAAGCAACAGUUGAACAUAAAACAGUAUGUGUUCAGGUGUCAGGUGAGUAAUAAGGAAAGAGGGAGAUUCCUAGAUGCUCCACUUGGGAACACUAGAAAUUCUUGAAGCUCUCUGUGGCCCCAACAAACCCUAAAAAUACUUCAGUUUGGGGAGACAUGGAAUCUACAUCAUCUCCCCUCUUUCCUCAACCCCACUCUUGAGGUUCCUUUCAGCUCUACCCCUUCCUGUCCCCAAAACUGUCUCCCUCCCUGGCCUCUAGGCUCCACAAGGUCAAGAGAGCAGAUGUUUCCAUUGCCAUGUGCUGCAGACACAUUCCAGAGUCAAUCCUCAAUGAACGUCUACUGAACUAAGCAGAUGUAGGCAGAGCACACGGACAACAACAGGGACACAAGGCCCAUGAAGAAUUAUGCAGACAGGCUGGACUCUAUCCUGGAAAGGGGGAGGCCUAGGCCCUCAUGGAGGAGCCAAAGGGAGAGAACCCCAUCAAUACACUAUGAACUAAAUGGAGAGAAGUGCUAUUUAGAAAAAAACCUGAUGAAUAAAAUUCCUGAGAGCAGCAACUGUCA